GAUUUCUGGCGAGACAUAUCUGGCCGGCCACGGUUUCGUGUGUUAGUGCUUGAUAUUCUAGCCAUCCUUCCAAUGGCUAUUCAUCCUUCUUCAUUGAGGUGGUGAGUGGUAUUGGAUCUUUUACUUUGAAAAAAUUAGAGUGUUUAAAGCAGGCUUUUUGCUAUGAAUACAUUAGCAUGGAAUAAUAAUUUAGGACUUUGGCCCUAUUUUGUUGGUUUCUAGGACUGAAGUAAUGAUUGAUAGGGAUAGUUGGGGGUGCUCGAAUUCAGCGGCCAGAGGUGAAAUUCUUGGAUUCGCUGAAGACGAACUCAUGCGAAAGCAUU
RNAcentral lists this ribosomal RNA (323 nucleotides) under Sandonidae sp. RNAcentral describes it as "SSU rRNA". The stretch from base 111 to 323 matches the Rfam family "Eukaryotic small subunit ribosomal RNA", at positions 742 to 955 of the family's 1831-position model. Lineage: Eukaryota; Cercozoa; Glissomonadida; Sandonidae. The record is from RNAcentral.